AUCCAGGGCUCAGCUGAGACUGGGGGCCUCACCACAGCCCCACUCAGAUGCCUGGUGGUUGGAUGGGCUGCCAGCUGAGGCACCUCCGUUCUCCAACUCAUGGCCUUUCCAGCAGGACAGCCUGGACUUCUCCAUAUGAGAAUUGGGUGUCAAGAAGGUGGCAAAGGGAACCUCCAAGGAGGAACCCCUCUGGAGCAGAGUCUCAAAGCAGAGGGAUUGAGGAGAUACCGAGGGGAGCAUGCAACACCUGGUACGCGAGUCAAGAGGAGACAUGUUGAGAUGCAGCUAGGUCUCCUGGCAGAGGAGCGACUUGGUUCUGGUCUGGAUCCUCUGAGGGCAUAAAGCUGUACCUCAGCAAGUCUGCAGAUGAACAGUGAUAAAGACAAAUCAUUAGAAUGCAGAGCGCCUGCCCAGAGUAAAUUAUUGUUGGAUAAAAGCUCAGAAACAACUUGACAAAAUUUGUGACAGUGUGAGUGUUCUUGUUAGUUGAUCAAACUCAGCCAGGUCUUCAAGGAUAUGGUGUACCUGCAAAAUCAUACUGAGAGGCACUCAGAAAGAAGCUAAUCUGCCUAGAAAAGGCUAAGGGAUAGUUUAAGCUUACCUAACCUAAAAGGCUUGGUGAAGUUUAAUUCACACUGGGAAUGUAAGAGAAGUAAGUGUCUUAAGGCGACCAUCCAACAUAGCUGGACCUCCUGAUUCUCUUCAACCCUCUUGCAUGCCUUUCUGCCAAAUAAAACAUUUCAUGG
RNAcentral lists this long non-coding RNA (746 nucleotides) under Equus caballus (horse). RNAcentral describes it as "lncRNA (ENSECAG00000060198.1)". Lineage: Eukaryota; Metazoa; Chordata; Mammalia; Perissodactyla; Equidae. The record is from RNAcentral.